UGGGGAAACUUCACAUUCGUCCCACUUACUCAUUUACACGUUCUACAGGAGUCUCAACAGGUUGUCACCAUUUUGAAGAACACGUAAGUUCUCUGGCAGAACUGCUGGUGCUGAUUACUUUAUUUCACCCUCUGAGUACUACUACUAUUGUAUUUAUUUAUUUCAUCAUGCAAAUUCUUGACCAAUUAUUUACUUUAGUUCAUUCAGUAAUCUCUUGCUGCUCCGUUGUUUGAGCUUUGCUAUCGUUUUUAUUUACUGUGUUCGGGCAGUUCAAGAAAGAGUAUGGAGAUCUAGCCAGGAGUAGUCAACAAAUUGGAGAAAAUGUUUUUUGUUCCUAUAUGGAUUGAAUAAUCGAAGAGAUUGAUCAAGAUGCUAUGUCAAGGUGUGUCACGG
This 393-nucleotide long non-coding RNA is filed under the name Triticum aestivum (bread wheat). RNAcentral's name for it is "long non-coding RNA (TAES_LNC019678)". The record is from RNAcentral. Lineage: Eukaryota; Viridiplantae; Streptophyta; Magnoliopsida; Poales; Poaceae.